Molecule: long non-coding RNA, 945 nt
Organism: Bubalus bubalis (water buffalo)
Lineage: Eukaryota; Metazoa; Chordata; Mammalia; Artiodactyla; Bovidae
Exons: 3
Source: RefSeq, a predicted model, not a curated record
UUCUGGUCCUACAGCUACGCUGGUGAAGUGACAGAUCUCCGCGGGAUCUCAGGCCUGCGGACGUUCAGAGUCCUUAGAGCUUUAAAAACCGUGUCUGUGAUCCCGGGGCUGAAGGUCAUCGUGGGGGCCCUGAUCCACUCGGUGAAGAAGCUGGCUGACGUGACCAUUCUCACUGUCUUCUGCCUGAGUGUCUUUGCCCUGGUGGGCCUGCAGCUCUUCAAGGGCAACCUCAAGAACAAAUGUGUCAAGAACUGCACCGUCGUCAAUGAGACAGCCAGUUACUCCUCUCACAAAAAUCGGGAGUGGAAUUACUGCCAAGAGGACCAAGAUUACUAUACCAACAAGGAAGGCACUUCUGAUCCCUUACUCUGUGGCAAUGGAUCUGAUGCAGGGUGAGUGUUCAAGCCAUAACAAAACACCAGUGCCCAGCAGCCCUUUCUCCUUUUUGUCAUCAGUUCUUUCUGGGUGAAGCCUACGUUGAAAGUCCCGAGGAAAAUGUGGAAAUUAAUAAGCCAUGGCCUCUGCCAUCCCAGGUUCAUGGGAAGAGAGUAUAUGAGUAAGCUCUUGUUAUGAAACAAACAUCCCCAAGAUUUUUGUGACUUAAAACACCAGCCAUUUAUUUAGCUCAGUAUUCUGUGCAUCUGCACCUUGGGCUGAGAUCAGCCUGGUGUUCCUCUGACAUUGACUGGACUCAUUCAUGCAUCUGCAGACAAUGGACAGAUUAGCAGGGGUCCAGCUGAUCCAGGAUGGCCUCAGCUUGGGUGUCUUGUCUCUGUUCCUCAUGGUUUCUCACCCCCCAGCAGACUAGCCCAGGCUUUUUCUCCUAUUGGAGGCAGGAUUCCAAGAGAGAGAAUGGAAAUGUGCAAGGUCUCUUGAGGCCUAGGCUUACAACUGGCAUAAUGUCACUUCUACUGCAUCCUGUUGACCCAAGUUGCAAGGCACAAG